GACGAACGCUGGCGGCGUGCUUAACACAUGCAAGUCGAACGGAAAGGCCCUGCUUUUGUGGGGUGCUCGAGUGGCGAACGGGUGAGUAACACGUGAGUAACCUGCCCUUGACUUUGGGAUAACUUCAGGAAACUGGGGCUAAUACCGGAUAGGAGCUCCUGCUGCAUGGUGGGGGUUGGAAAGUUUCGGCGGUUGGGGAUGGACUCGCGGCUUAUCAGCUUGUUGGUGGGGUAGUGGCUUACCAAGGCUUUGACGGGUAGCCGGCCUGAGAGGGUGACCGGCGACAUUGGGACUGAGAGACGGCGCAGAGUCGUACGGGAGGCAGCAGGGGGGAGUAUUGCACAAUGGGCGGAAGCGUGAUGAAAAAACGCCGCGUGCGGGAUGAAGGCCUUGGGGGUGGAAACCGCUGUAGCCUGUGACGAAGCGGGAGUGACGGUAAUGGGAAAAGAAGCGCCGGCUAACUACGUG
This 468-nucleotide ribosomal RNA is filed under the name uncultured bacterium. RNAcentral's name for it is "partial 16S ribosomal RNA". It matches the Rfam family "Bacterial small subunit ribosomal RNA", at positions 28 to 507 of the family's 1533-position model. The record is from RNAcentral.